UUAAUUGAAGAGUUUGAUCAUGGCUCAGAUUGAACGCUGGCGGCAGGCCUAACACAUGCAAGUCGAGCGGCAGCACAGAGGAACUUGUUCCUUGGGUGGCGAGCGGCGGACGGGUGAGUAAUGCCUGGGAAAUUGCCCGGUAGAGGGGGAUAACCAUUGGAAACGAUGGCUAAUACCGCAUGACCUCGUAAGAGCAAAGCAGGGGACCUUCGGGCCUUGCGCUACCGGAUAUGCCCAGGUGGGAUUAGCUAGUUGG
Molecule: ribosomal RNA, 256 nt
Filed under: Vibrio cholerae
Lineage: Bacteria; Pseudomonadati; Pseudomonadota; Gammaproteobacteria; Vibrionales; Vibrionaceae
Description: partial 16S ribosomal RNA
Rfam family: Bacterial small subunit ribosomal RNA
Source: RNAcentral